RNAcentral lists this ribosomal RNA (460 nucleotides) under uncultured bacterium. RNAcentral's name for it is "partial 16S ribosomal RNA". It matches the Rfam family "Bacterial small subunit ribosomal RNA", at positions 338 to 795 of the family's 1533-position model. The record is from RNAcentral.
CCUACGGGCGGCAGCAGUGAGGAAUAUUGGUCAAUGGCCGGAAGGCUGAACCAGCCAUGCCGCGUGAAGGUCAGUGCCCUAUGGGCGUUAAACUUCUUUUGUGCGGGAGCAAUAAUGGUCACGUGUGGCCAGACGAGAGUACCGUACGAAUAAGCAUCGGCUAACUCCGUGCCAGCAGCCGCGGUAAUACGGGGGAUGCAAGCGUUAUCCGGAUUUAUUGGGUUUAAAGGGUGCGUAGGCUGUGAGGUAAGUCAGCGGUGAAAUGCCCCCGCUCAACGGGGUGAAGUGCCAUUGAUACUGCCUGGCUGGAAUGCGGAUGCGGUGGGAGGAAUGUGUGGUGUAGCGGUGAAAUGCAUAGAUAUCACACAGAACACCGAUUGCGAAGGCAUCUCACGAAUCCGCGAUUGACGCUGAUGCACGAAAGCGUGGGUAUCAAACAGGAUUAGAUACCCUAGUAGUC